Molecule: transfer RNA, 65 nt
Filed under: Ophiacantha linea
Lineage: Eukaryota; Metazoa; Echinodermata; Ophiuroidea; Amphilepidida; Ophiacanthidae
Description: tRNA-Tyr
Source: RNAcentral
UAUAAGGUGUCCGAAAAAGGUGUUGGGUUGUAAACCCAAUUAUGAAGAAUACUCUUCUCUUAUAA